UUGGAGUCUGCAACUCGACUCCAUGAAGUCGGAAUCGCUAGUAAUCGCGGAUCAGAAUGCCGCGGUGAAUACGUUCCCGGGCCUUGUACACACCGCCCGUCACACCAUGGGAGUUUGUUGCACCAGAAGUAGCUAGCCUAACUGCAAAGAGGGCGGUUACCACGGUGUGGCCGAUGACUGGGGUGAAGUCGUAACAAGGUAGCCGUAGGGGAACCUGCGGCUGGAUCACCUCCUUAA
This 237-nucleotide ribosomal RNA is filed under the name Salmonella enterica subsp. enterica serovar Oranienburg. RNAcentral's name for it is "partial 16S ribosomal RNA". It matches the Rfam family "Bacterial small subunit ribosomal RNA", at positions 1298 to 1533 of the family's 1533-position model. Lineage: Bacteria; Pseudomonadati; Pseudomonadota; Gammaproteobacteria; Enterobacterales; Enterobacteriaceae. The record is from RNAcentral.